CCUGCAUCCCCUAACCGUAGGGUGGGGCCCCACAGGUCCGUGAGGCAGGAACCCGGUGUGAGACCGGGGCGGUUCCGCCACUGUGACCCCUGCCACGACGGGCAGGGCAGCCAGACACUGCGCACGGACGACACCUGCCG
RNAcentral lists this non-coding RNA (140 nucleotides) under Nocardioides sp. Lineage: Bacteria; Bacillati; Actinomycetota; Actinomycetes; Propionibacteriales; Nocardioidaceae. The record is from RNAcentral.